AGUAACGGCGAGUGAAGCGGCAAUAGCUCAAAUUUGAAAGCUGGCCCCUUCGGGGUCCGCGUUGUAAUUUGUAGAGGAUGAUUCGGCGAGGGCUCCCGUCUAAGUCCCUUGGAACAGGGCGUCAUAGAGGGUGAGAAUCCCGUAUGUGAUGGGCUGCCUUAGCCAUGUGAAUCUCCUUCGACGAGUCGAGUUGUUUGGGAAUGCAGCUCUAAAUGGGAGGUAAAUUUCUUCUAAAGCUAAAUACCGGCCAGAGACCGAUAGCGCACAAGUAGAGUGAUCGAAAGAUGAAAAGCACUUUGGAAAGAGAGUUAAAAAGUACGUGAAAUUGUUGAAAGGGAAGCGCUUGCAGCCAGACUUGUCCGCAGUUGCUCAGCUUGUCUCCUGACAGGCGUACUCUUCUGCGGCCAGGCCAGCAUCAGUUCGGGCGGUCGGAUAAAGGCCCGGGGAAUGUAGCUCCUCUCGGGGAGUGUUAUAGCCCCGGGUGCAAUGCGGCCAGCCUGGACUGAGGAUCUCGCUUCGGCUAGGAUGCUGGCGUAAUGGCUGUAAGCGGCCCGUCUUGAAACACGGACCAAGGAGUCUAACAUCUAUGCGAGUGUUUGGGUGUCAAACCCAUGCGCGUAAUGAAAGUGAACGGAGGUGGGAACCCUCACGGGUGCACCAUCGACCGAUCCUGAUGUCUUCGGAUGGAUUUGAGUAAGAGCAUAGCUGUUGGGACCCGAAAGAUGGUGAACUAUGCCUGAAUAGGGUGAAGCCAGAGGAAACUCUGGUGGAGGCUCGCAGCGGUUCUGACGUGCAAAUCGAUCGUCAAAUUUGGGUAUAGGGGCGAAAGACUAAUCGAACCAUCUAGUAGCUGGUUCCUGCCGAAGUCCCCCUCUCCGGAGAUAUA
This 886-nucleotide ribosomal RNA is filed under the name Neofusicoccum mangiferae. RNAcentral describes it as "partial large subunit ribosomal RNA". It matches the Rfam family "Eukaryotic large subunit ribosomal RNA", at positions 82 to 986 of the family's 3401-position model. Lineage: Eukaryota; Fungi; Ascomycota; Dothideomycetes; Botryosphaeriales; Botryosphaeriaceae. The record is from RNAcentral.